UGGGGAAUAUUGCACAAUGGGCACAAGCCUGAUGCAGCCAUGCCGCGUGUGUGAAGAAGGCCUUCGGGUUGUAAAGCACUUUCAGCGAGGAGGAAGGGUAGUGUGUUAAUAGCACAUUGCAUUGACGUUACUCGCAGAAGAAGCACCGGCUAACUCCGUGCCAGCAGCCGCGGUAAUACGGAGGGUGCAAGCGUUAAUAGGAAUUACUGGGCGUAAAGCGCACGCAGGCGGUUUGUUAAGUCAGAUGUGAAAUCCCCGCGCUUAACGUGGGAACUGCAUUUGAAACUGGCAAGCUAGAGUCUUGUAGAGGGGGGUAGAAUUCCAGGUGUAGCGGUGAAAUGCGUAGAGAUCUGGAGGAAUACCGGUGGCGAAGGCGGCCCCCUGGACAAAGACUGACGCUCAGGUGCGAAAGCGUGGGGAGCAAACA
Molecule: ribosomal RNA, 427 nt
Filed under: uncultured bacterium
Lineage: Bacteria
Description: partial 16S ribosomal RNA
Rfam family: Bacterial small subunit ribosomal RNA
Source: RNAcentral